UGGUCUGACUAAUACUUACUGGAAGAGAGGUUCCCUUUCCUCCUUACCAGAGGGAUACACUUCCCUUCAGGGUUUCUUAAUGCUUAAUUUCCAGCUUUAUCAGCAAAAGGCCCUUUGCUUGUUUUCUCAGCUCUUGGGCCUCCUGAGUCUCCCAAGCCACUCUUCUUUUCUAAUCAAGCAGCAGCAUAUACUAACCUAGUUGUCUCAUUUGGCAGAGUUACUUGAUAGGAAGAAAAUCUGGCAAGGCGACUAGAAAAUAUAAAAGUAAAUGUUGUAAAGUAAAGCUGUACUCUCCCAGAGGUCUCCCAACAUAAGAGAACUAUUGUGCUUCAAAUUGGUGACAACAGGUCAGCACUCCAAACAUGUUAUGCUGCCAGGAAGUUCUUUCAUAGGUUAUUGUUUUGUAUCCCCAAAUAGAUAUGAUUGAUACCAGAAUGAUUUGAGUUUUAUAAAGAAAACAUUGUUGAGCUACCUUAGAUC
This 480-nucleotide long non-coding RNA is filed under the name Marmota monax (woodchuck). Lineage: Eukaryota; Metazoa; Chordata; Mammalia; Rodentia; Sciuridae. The record is from RNAcentral.